Molecule: ribosomal RNA, 468 nt
Filed under: uncultured bacterium
Lineage: Bacteria
Description: partial 16S ribosomal RNA
Rfam family: Bacterial small subunit ribosomal RNA
Source: RNAcentral
GACGAACGCUGGCGGCGGGCUUAACACAUGCAAGUCGAACGGAAAGGCCCUGCUUUUGUUGGGUGCUCGAGUGGCGAACGGGUGAGUAACACGUGAGUAACCUGCCCUUGACUUUGGGAUAACUUCAGGAAACUGGGGCUACUACCGGAUAGGAGCUCCUGCUGCAUGGUGGGGGUUGGAAAGUUUCGGCGGUUGGGGAUGGACUCGCGGCUUAUCAGCUUGUUGGUGGGGUAGUGGCUUACCAAGGCUUUGACGCGUAGCCGGCCUGAGAGGGUGACCGGCCACACUGGGACUGAGAUACGGUCCAGACUCCUACGGGAGGCAGCAGUGGGGAAUAUUGCACAAUGGGCGGAAGCCUGAUGCAGCAACGCCGCGUGCGGGAUGACGGCCUUCGGGUUGUAAACCGCUUUCGCCUGUGACGAAGCGUGAGUGACGGUAAUGGGUAAAGAAGCACCGGCUAACUACGUG